RNAcentral lists this ribosomal RNA (301 nucleotides) under uncultured bacterium. RNAcentral's name for it is "partial 16S ribosomal RNA". It matches the Rfam family "Bacterial small subunit ribosomal RNA", at positions 509 to 807 of the family's 1533-position model. The record is from RNAcentral.
CAGUAGCCGCGGGAAUACAGAGGGUGCGAGCGUUAAUCGGAAUUACUGGGCGUAAAGGGAGCGUAGGCGGACAUUUAAGUCAGGGGUGAAAUCCCAGAGCUCAACUCUGGAACUGCCUUUGAUACUGGGUGUCUUGAGUGUGAUAGAGGUAUGUGGAACUCCGAGUGUAGAGGUGAAAUUCGUAGAUAUUCGGAAGAACACCAGUGGCGAAGGCGACAUACUGGAUCAUUACUGACGCUGAGGCUCGAAAGCGUGGGGAGCAAACAGGAUUAGAGACCCCGGUAGUCCCUGUCUCUUAUAC